GUAGGUGGCAAGCGUUGUCCGGAAUUAUUGGGCGUAAAGCGCGCGCAGGCGGGUCCUUUAAGUCUGAUGUGAAAGCCCACGGGCUCAACCGUGGAGGGUCAUUGGAAACUGGGGGACUUGAGUACAGAAGAGGAAAGCGGAAUUCCAAGUGUAGCGGUGAAAUGCGUAGAGAUCUGGAGGAACACCAGUGGCGAAGGCGGCUUUCUGGUCUGUAACUGACGCUGAGGCGCGAAAGCGUGGGGAGCAAACAGGAUUAGAUACCCUGGUAGUCCACGCCGUAAACGAUGAGUGCUAAGUGUUAGGGGGUUUCCGCCCCUUAGUGCUGCAGCUAACGCAUUAAGCACUCCGCCUGGGGAGUACGGCCGCAAGGCUG
RNAcentral lists this ribosomal RNA (373 nucleotides) under uncultured organism. RNAcentral describes it as "partial 16S ribosomal RNA". It matches the Rfam family "Bacterial small subunit ribosomal RNA", at positions 527 to 896 of the family's 1533-position model. The record is from RNAcentral.